UGGGGCGUAGUCAAGUGGUUAAGACACUGGGUUUUGGCUCCAGCAUUCGCAGGUUCGAAUCCUGCCGCCCCAGCCA
This 76-nucleotide transfer RNA is filed under the name Candidatus Adiutrix sp. Its description in RNAcentral is "tRNA-Gln". It matches the Rfam family "tRNA". Rfam says of the family: Transfer RNA (tRNA) molecules are approximately 80 nucleotides in length. Their secondary structure includes four short double-helical elements and three loops (D, anti-codon, and T loops). Lineage: Bacteria; Pseudomonadati; Thermodesulfobacteriota; Desulfarculia; Candidatus Adiutricales; Candidatus Adiutricaceae. The record is from RNAcentral.